Molecule: long non-coding RNA, 2537 nt
Filed under: Homo sapiens (human)
Lineage: Eukaryota; Metazoa; Chordata; Mammalia; Primates; Hominidae
Description: HSALNT0144609
Source: RNAcentral
CAGUUAUACAAACAAGAGAAGUGGCACUCCGUGCUUGCCUAGCGACAUACUCACAACCACAUAGAUAAGGGGGAGUUGUGCAGACAGCUUUUCAGGGUUAAGCAAUUGACUAUCAAUCAAUAAUCUUUUAUGAAAGAAGAGAUGGUGCAGCACACGCAUGCCCAAUAUUAAGAGAGAGAAGACAUUUAUUGAGGCAAGCAGCUGGAGUGGACCUGCCCCCAUCACCAGGCCAGCUUCCCACCUGCACGUGCAGCUCUUUCUUCUUUUGCAGGAGGCUGGCUCUGCUCAUUAGACAUGCAACAAAGAGCUGGCCUGUGGAGCACACAUCCAUAUUCAUAACUCAAGUCAGCUGGAAAGUUGUACAUUUUUCUUUCUGGGAAGUCAUGGCGACAAAGACUGAAGACCCAGGCAGCACAAAUGUGAAUGAUGGAUCUCUUGGAAGAACAACAAAGACUGAAGUGAGUAUAUUUUAUGCUUGGAAAUGAGCAAAUCAUUCCUUUUGACAAGCCAUUGAUGUUGGGGUUCCAUGGAAAAGAGAAGGAGGUGAACAAAAGGAAGAAAUGCAGAGAAAAAUAUGGAAUAGAAAUAUGAGGGAAGAUAUUAGCAAACUGGCUACAUCUUUUAUGACAAACUCAACUGAUUACAUCUUUUCCAAGAACAUCUUCAGAGGUUUGCUGGAGUUUGGAUUUACUACUGAGUCAUAUUUGGAGCAUGCUGGAAUCUUACAACUGAGAUUACCGAGUCAGAAACUAGUUUGACUGUUCUCGUCGGCAUGGUUGAGACAUUAUCCCUGGCAGAAGGCUGGACUGGCAUGGACAUCAUUUGAUGAGUUCGUCUCCUCUUAACAAUCAAAGCCUGUUUUCCAGUGCGAAUAAACUGUUGCCUUAUAUAUUGUUUUCCCAUUUUUAUAGUUGUUUACUGCAAAAAAGAGUCUGGUACAAGUUACUUUGCUAAAACCUUGAUAAAGUUUUAUUCUACGAUUCUUCAAUCAAUGUUUCUGUUUUGUUUAUUCUGUUAUCUCUGUUGUGUCAUACCAUAAUUCUCUCAUUAAUAGCUCAUAUUCUUUUUCAUAGCUAUUCAAUUCUUUAGCAGUUUCUACUUUUAUGUUUGGGAGAAAAUUGAAAGCUUGAUUUCUUAUUUUGACAAGUUUUCUAAAGGUUUCAGCAUGCAAUAUUUUUUUUCAUAGCCUUACAGUUUGUAAUAGUUCAUCUGAUUGUAAAGCUCUUACAAUCUUUCCUGAUUUUAAGUCAUUUUAACAACGACUUUCUCUCUUUUUUAUUUUUAAGAAACAAUGUCCUCCUUUUCAUUUGUUGAGAACUCUACUCAGCUUUUAAAAAACUUCCUGUGUAUGUACCUUAAUUCUUUUGACAAUAAAACAUUACUCUGAAUAUUCAAAGGGUCUUUCUUCUUUAGAAUGGUGGUUCCAAAGAGCUAUAUUUUCCUACAUUUGGUGAUCUUUCUUUUGUAAAUUUGGAACUUGGUUUAUAGCUUUUUAAAAAGGUUUUACCAACUACUAAUAUGGAACCACAUGCUGUUUUCUUUAUGAGUGGAUUUUUCAGACAUUCUGUUAAUGCAAACCAGACGUUCAUGACUGCAUCAGUCUAUGAAAGCUGAGAGAUACCUGGGGCCAUAGGCAUUCUCUCCAGUACAAGUUGCCUCUUCUUUUCCUUUGCCAUGUUUAAUGAAGUUCACUUAUUCAUGUCAAAAUACUUUUUUUUCCUUCACCCAUUCACUUUCUCCUUGUUGUCCUUCAGCCUCAUCCCACCUCCUCCUCUACUCACACACAAACACAUUCCAAGCCUGAUCCCUGGGACUUGCCCAAGGCAGGUGGGAGUUCAUUUGUUCUCUAAAUGUUUUACCCCGCACCCUACCUCCUAACCCCCUGCCCCUCCACCUGGCUCCCCCACAUUUCCCUCUAAGAGGGAGUUGUAAGAUGGUUUAUCCUCAGGCACUUCCACUUAUCUCCUGGGCAUAUGCCCUUUCUCAGAAAAAGUAGUAAGUUGGAAUAUUACAACAUCCUCUGAUGUAAUGUAGCCACUCACUUAGUUUACAAAUCAGAAAUCAGUGGUAGUUUUUGUUGUUUUGUCAACAUCCUGAAGAAUUAAAUACGGAUACUCCUAUAUACAAACAUUUUACUCCCAUCUUUAUAUUCUUUUUUUUUCUGUUUGCCAUUCUAAUUGAAAUCGAGUGGUAGAAAGCAACAUAGAUAGGCUCAUUGUCAUCUUACCCAGGAAAUAAAGGAAAACUUACUGAAUGCAAACUUGGUACUGUACACUAGAAUGUAAAAGCUCACUUCCAGCUUAGUAAAGGACCAAGAAAGCUACUACAAAGCGAAUUCAAGCACUGGAGCUACUCUACUGAACCACGUAGAAUCCUGUCCUCCCUCACCAUGUCCACAAGGACACAGUAUGGGGUAGAAAGGCAACACAUGCCUGUGCAGAAGGAAAGAGCAGGUUACUGUAUUAGAAAAGCCAUUUGUGUGAGGCCAAAUCGUGAUUCUGACAGCCCAAUUAUGACAAGUGACAUAUUUACAAGGU